GUAAUUUUGAACUAUGAUAUAGAUUACAUGUUUUUAAUAUUACAUUAUAAAAUGUGUUUUAUGUUUUAUUCUAGAAAGACAGACAAAUUAUAGUUUGUUUUUAAUUGCAAGUCAUUGUACACUUUUGUGUUUAUGAAGGCUGUCUAAUUAAGAUCAUAAGGGAAAUUAAUAUGACAAAAACAUUGUGUUAUAAAAAUUGUUACAUGUAUAUUGCAAAAAAAGAGACAAAAGGAACCAGAGGGAAUUAUAGCUCGACAAAAAAAAAGAAGAAAAAAGUUGGGGCUAAAAAAGGUAAACAGACUACAUAGACUACAAUGUAACAUACAAUAAUAAGUAAGAAAAAAAUAUAAAUAGAAGAGAACGAAAGAUACCAGAGGGACAGUUACACUCACAGAUCGAAAACAACCCGACAACGCCAUGGCUAAAAAGGGGAAAAAAAAACAAACAGACAAAUAAGAGAACAAAAUACACAUAAUACACCACAUAUACAACUAAAGACUGACCAACACUAAUCCCAUCACAAAUGGGGUUGAUCUCAGGUGCUCCUUUGAUGUCAAAAGAAACCU
This 566-nucleotide long non-coding RNA is filed under the name Mytilus galloprovincialis (Mediterranean mussel). Lineage: Eukaryota; Metazoa; Mollusca; Bivalvia; Mytilida; Mytilidae. The record is from RNAcentral.